CAGUGGCAGCAGGCUUGGGUGUCACCAAGUCCUCACGUUUCAUGCUGUUUCUGGAGGUUCUGGCCUUUGUGGCCUCGGAAAGGAAGGUGAUCUGGUGCUUUGGGGAAGGCCCUCGGGAUGCUCCUCCAGAUGGUCUUCUUCAGGCCUUUUGCUCAGCAUUGAUCUGAUCAGUUCUGCCAGCUCUGGGCCAUGAUCUCUGGCACUUCGCGGCUUUCCAUCAUAAACUCCAGACUUCGUGUCUUUUGCAUGGAAAGCACGCGGUGCCCAUUUCAUAUGACACCGCACCCCGGAGCCCAAACGUCAGCCCUGCAGGUGUUGGGUUUGUUGGGGACAAUUUUGGGCUCAGGUGCAGGGGCGCUUCCCCAGGGCAGGCGCGUCCUGGUCCCCAUCUGAGACCGUGGGCUCCUGGCAGGAGGACCUGGAGUUUUCAGAUCCCCGGGAAGGGUGUAUUUCCCCCACUCUCGGGCACAAGCUGCCCUUUGGUGGCUUUGGGCACGGAUCACCGCCUUGCAGAAGCCCGCUAUAGCGUGGAGCAAGCGGUGUGUCCCCGCCUGGGACUACGCCUGGGUGAUGGCGCCUGGAGGCCUUGGCUGGGACAGAUUGGGGCCUCCGGGUCGGUCAGCGGCUGGCGCCCGGCUGCGGCUUUCAGAGGCUUUUGGUCACCGCCUGCCAUCGAGAUCCGCUCCCCCGAACUGGCCCUGCCCACGGCGCGCGGGUAGUAGCGGACAGCCAGGAGCCAGUGGCAGGCGCCGCCGUUGGGAUGACGGGCAGGAGGCUGCGCUGGAGCCCGCUAGGCAGCGCGGACCCCUAAAGCAGCGGGGCGGGGUCCCACUCUGGCACCCAGGCUGGAGAGCAUUGGUGCUAACAGGGCUCACUGCAGCCUCAACCUUUCAGGUUCCAGCGAUACUCCCACCGCAGCCUCCCAAGUAGCUGGGACUACAGGUGGGUGCCACCAAGUCCGGCUAAUUUUUAUUUUGUUUUAGAGAGACAGGGUUUCGCCAUGGUGUCCAGGCUGAUCUCCAAUUCCUGAGCUCAAGAGAUCUGCCCACCUUGGCCUCCAAAAGGGCCGGGAUUACAAAUGUGAGCCACCAUCCCCCACCCUCUAUAAUUUUAAAUUAGGCAACUGAAGUAAUGCAUUCAUCAUACCAUAUCAUGUUUUAUAAAGCAUAAAGUCAGGAUAACAAGGUGGUUAAGAGCAUGAACUCAGAGGUGAAAUCAUUCUGGAAAAAGUUACUUUUGAUAAGAAGAACAACACAUGGAAUAGAAGAUAAAAUUUGAAUUGUUUGCAAUGUUUUCAUUUUUACAAAAACGUUUAUGUUUGCAUUUAAUGUGAAGGGGAAAUUUCAAAAGAACUAUUUUAAAUAAUACAAAAUAUUUAUAUUAUCACUUUUUUUUUUUUGAGACACAAUCUCGCUCUGUCACCCAGUUGGAGUGCAGUGGUACGAUCUCAGCUCACUGCAACCUCCACCUCCUGGGUUCAAGCAAUUCUGCUGCCUCAGCCUCCCGAGUAGCUGGGAUUACAGGCGCCCACCACCAUACCUACCUACUUUUUGUAUUUUUAGUAGAGACAGGGUUUUGCCACGUUGGCCAGGCUGGUCUCAAACUCGUGACCUCAGGUGAUCUGCCCACCUUGGCCUCCCAAAGUGCUGGGUUUACAGGUAUGAGCCACCAUGCCCGGCCUAUCAUUACCUUUUUGAUUAUUAAAGGGUUACAUUAAAAUGAUAGGAUUUAAAAUAUCAUUUAAAUUAUUCAAAUUGUUAUUCAAAAUUUGAGAAGGAAAUACUGGGCUACAAAAUAGGCAUUAUUCUGUAAGUUCUGUGUCCUGCUCUGAGCAUAAGUGGUCUGACAUUAGGAAAGUCAAUAAUUACCGUAUAGUACUUUCUCUUUAAAUACUGCAAAUAAAUAAUGUAAUUAAAUGUAUCAUUUAAUCGUUACAUGUGGUAAAUCAGUCACACACACACACACACACACACACACACAUAGUGAAUUUACCAGAUGCAUCCCAUCAGUCUGACAAAACACCCAGGAUUAAUAAAACAUGUGUGGAGACCUAUUCUUCAAAGUAAAAUUCAAGUGGAUAUGGAUAUAUUAUCUUUUCCUUUGAAACUAAAAUUAAGGUAAUAUUCUACCUUUUAAAGGGAUAAUCAUGCUAAGUGUUAACUAUGAGAGUAUUUCUAUCAUUCACUCUUGUUGCCCAGGAUGGAGUGCAAUGGCACCAUGGUGGCUCACCAUAACCUCCACCUCCCUGGUUCAAGCGAUUCUCCUGCCUCAGCCUCCCGAGUAGCUGGGAUUACAGGCGUGUGCCACCAGGCCCAGCCAAUUUUGUAUUUUUAGUAGAGACGAGGUUUCUCCAUGUUGGUCAGUCUGGUCUCAAACUCCUGACCUCAGGUGAUCCACCUGCCUCGGCCUCCCAAAGUGAUAGGAUUAUAGGCGUGAGCCACUGUACCUGGCCUAUCUUCAUUUUUAAAAUAAAAUUUUAUGCUAUCUUUUAGUUUAUGUCCCUAUAGAAUAAUCUUGAUCCAUAUACUUUUGUUAUUACAGGCAGAACAGGAUAAACUUCCUCCCUCUGGAAUAAAUGCCAUGACCACUGCUCUUUGAGCAUUAUUUUUUAAAAUUAUUUUUUAAAUAGAAAUGUAUCUAAUCUACAGUAACCAAAUUCCUUUUCAACAUAACCACAUUUCUUUUAAGUGAAAAAUUCAAUAUUACCUUCUGUUAUCAAGAAUUCUCCGAAUACAAAAUAUUUAUUUUUUUAACUUUAGAAGAAAUUGAAAAUAUCUAGAUGUACUAAUCUAAAAAUACAAGCCCUGGGUUUAUAUGAUGUUAACGUGUCUUCCAAAUUUUAAGGAACAGGUAUUUAAAUGCCAUACACUUUGUUUUCAAAUUUAGAAAAUGUUUCAACCUUUUGACUGGGCAUGGUGGCUCAUCCCUAUAAUCUCAGCACUUUGGAAGGCCAAGAUGAGAGGAUCACCUGAGCUCAGGUGUUCUAGACCAGCCUGGGCAACAUGGUGAAACCCCAUUUCUACAAAAAAUUACAAAAAUUAUCCAGGCAUGGUGGUACCACCUGUAUUCCCAGC
Molecule: long non-coding RNA, 3074 nt
Filed under: Papio anubis (olive baboon)
Lineage: Eukaryota; Metazoa; Chordata; Mammalia; Primates; Cercopithecidae
Description: lncRNA (ENSPANG00000042691.1)
Source: RNAcentral